Molecule: ribosomal RNA, 253 nt
Filed under: uncultured bacterium
Lineage: Bacteria
Description: partial 16S ribosomal RNA
Rfam family: Bacterial small subunit ribosomal RNA
Source: RNAcentral
UACGGAGGGGGCUAGCGUUGUUCGGAAUUACUGGGCGUAAAGCGCGCGUAGGCGGCCUCAUAAGUCCGUUGUGAAAGUCAAAGGCUCAACCUUUGAAAGCCGAUGGAUACUGUGAGGCUAGAGUCCGGAAGAGGCGAGUGGAAUUCCUGGUGUAGCGGUGGAAUGCGCAGAUAUCAGGAGGAACACCAAUAGCGAAGGCAGCUCGCUGGGACGGUACUGACGCUAAGGCGCGAAAGCGUGGGGAGCGAACAGG